Molecule: ribosomal RNA, 495 nt
Filed under: uncultured bacterium
Lineage: Bacteria
Description: bacterial SSU rRNA
Rfam family: Bacterial small subunit ribosomal RNA
Source: RNAcentral
AGUGAACGCUGGCGGCAGGCCUAAUACAUGCAAGUCGAACGGCAGCACAGCAGAGCUUGCUCUGUGGGUGGCGAGUGGCGGACGGGUGAGGAAUACAUGGGAAUCUGCCCAGUCGUGGGGGAUAACGUAUGGAAACGUACGCUAAUACCGCAUGCGCCCUAAGGGGGAAAGCCGGGGACCGCAAGGCCUGGCGCGAUUGGAUGAGCCCAUGUUCGAUUGGCUAGUUGGCGGGGUAAAGGCCCACCAAGGCGACGAUCGAUAGCUGGUCUGAGAGGAUGAUCAGCCACACUGGAACUGAGACACGGUCCAGACUCCUACGGGAGGCAGCAGUAGGGAAUAUUGGACAAUGGGGGCAACCCUGAUCCAGCCAUGCCGCGUGAGUGAAGAAGGCCCUCGGGUUGUAAAGCUCUUUUGUCCGGAAAGAAAAGCAAUCGGUUAAUACCCGGUUGUCCUGACGGUACCGGAAGAAUAAGCACCGGCUAACUUCGUGCCAGC